UGGACGGGGUGCACCAGGCGCGAAAACUCCGCAAUGCGCGCAAGCGUGACGGGGGGACCCCAAGUGCCGUUGGUCUUUCGAUCGACGGUUUUUAGGAAGUCUAAGAAGCUUCCGGAAUAAGGGCUGGGCAAGACUGGUGCCAGCCGCCGCGGUAACACCAGCAGCCCGAGUAGUGGCCACGAUUAUUGGGCCUAAAGCGCUCGUAGCCGGACCAGCAAGUCCCUUGUGAAAUCGGGCCGCCCAACGGUUCGGCGUGCAAGGGAUACUGUUGGUCUUGAGGCCGGGAGAGGUCGGAGGUACUCCUAGGGUAGCGGUGAAAUGCUCUAAUCCUAGGGGGACCACCAGUGGCGAAGGCGUCCGACCAGAACGGACCUGACGGUGAGGGGCGAAGGCUAGGGGAGCGAACGGGAUUAGAUACCCCGGUAGUCCUAGCUGUAAAGCAUGCGGGCUAGGUGUCUAGUGCUCCUCGAGGGCACUAGGUGCCGGAGGGAAGCCGUUAAGCCCGCCGCCUGGGAAGUACGGCCGCAAGGCUGAAACUUAAAGAAAUUGGCGGGGGAGCACCACAAGAGGUGGGACCUGCGGUUCAAUUGGAUUCAACGCCGGAAAACUCACCAGGGGCGACAGCUGGUUGACGGCCAGGUUGACGAUCUUGCCCGACUAGCUGAGAGGUGGUGCAUGGCCAUCGUCAGCUCGUACCGUGAGGCGUCCUGUUAAGUCAGGCAACGAGCGAGAUCCUCGCCCUUAGUUGCCAUCGGUGGAAAAGCCGGGUACUCUAGGGGGACCGCUGGCGCUAAGUCAGAGGAAGGAGAGGGCGACGGUAGGUCAGUAUGCCCCGAAUCCCCUGGGCUACACGCGGGUCACAAUGCGCAGGACAAUGAGAUGCAACCCCGUGAGGGGAAGCCAAGCCCAUAAACCUGCGCUCGGUUCGGAUCGAGGGCUGUAACUCGCCCUCGUGAAGCUGGAAUCCCUAGUAAUCGCGUGCCAACACCGCGCGGUGAAUGCGUCCCUGCUCCUUGCAAGAAUUCGCCGA
Molecule: ribosomal RNA, 1030 nt
Filed under: uncultured euryarchaeote
Lineage: Archaea; Methanobacteriati; Methanobacteriota
Description: bacterial SSU rRNA
Rfam family: Archaeal small subunit ribosomal RNA
Source: RNAcentral